GAUUUCUCGUUUGUUUCAGGCUCCAUUAUGGCUCAGCAGGGCACUGCUCCCAGCCCACAGAUUGAAGACUCACUUGGCAGAAAGAAACCUAGAUGCUGUGAGAAGAGAGAAGGUGAGAGAACAGUUCAGGAGGAGUGGAAAAAGACAGAUGGACAGACACCGGAUAGUUUCCUACAGUAUGAGCGCCAGCUCCACCAAACGCCCCUCUUUACUAAAAAGCCGAAUUAUAAUGUUCUAAAGUUGGGAAUGAAAGAAGUCCAGCUGUUCCACAUCAAAUCAGGUAAAAUAGUAACUCCUAACUUUUUUCUUCACAUAUGCCUUUGAGAGUAUGACGGUAAGGGUGAACUAUAUGUCCAGAAAAAAAAGUGUAUGUAUUACUUACGCACAAAAUCGUCUUCUAGAAGAACAGCUAGUCAUAGUAUUCAAGAUGGAAUCCACUUAGUCACCAAACAUACGUAAUAUAUAAUCCUGUUCAUUUGGCUGUCAUAAAUAUUUCUUGCAUCCAAGUAAGUUUAAUUCCAUAGUUUGAGCCUCUCUCCACUUUUUUUGCCCUCUUAGCUUAAGAAAACACCUUUACAGAACUCCUUGUAUAAAUUUUUCAUAUAUGCUUACAAAGAGCUAUGAAAUUUUAUCAGCAGCAUGCUCUUUUUUGUUUAUGGAUGCACCCACAGCCUGUGAAAGGUCCCAGGCCAGGAAUUCAAUCCAAGCUGCAGCUGCGGCAUGUUGGAUCCUUUGGCCCACUGCAUCAGGCUGGGGAUGGAACCCUCACCUCUGCAGCAGCUCAAGCUGCUGCAGUUGAACUCUUAACCCCCUGCAAGAGCUCCUCGUAAUUAUUGCUUUAAGUUAAAGCUUUUCUAAUCUUUCCUUUCAGAUUGAGUCAUAGAGGGUUAGUUACCCUUUAAUAUCCAAUUCUUCCUUCUGCAUUAGUUACUCAGCUAUGUGAUUACAUUUUCUAAGCCUCCCUUGCAGCUAUGUGUGGCCAUGUAACUAAACUUUAAGUUGGUGAUGUGCAAACACUGUGCUAUGUGGAUCUUCUGAAACAUCUCCCUUCUCCUUCACCCUACUGUUUGGAAUGAAGACACAAUACUAGAUGGAUAGCCGUCUUGGGCCAUGGAUUUGAGGUGUGAAGGGUAACACUUUGCUUGACUUCCCUAUUAGAAGCCAAAUUUCAUGAGAACAGAGACCUUAUUUUCUUGGUCAAAACAAUAUCCCCUGCACCUAAAAAGUGUGCCCUGUGGUUAAGGGCUCAGGUAUUGAACAGGUUUUGAAUGAAUGAAUGAGGUUACUCCAGAUCCACGUAAAACACUAACCAUAAAGUUCUCCCAAGGACUGUUCAGCCAUCAUUAGGCAUGUACAAGGUGUCAAUUUCUGCCACAGAAUCAAGCUCAUGCUUAAUUCAAACCACAUUACUUCUGGAGUUCCCUGGUGGCUCAGUGGGUUAAGGACCUGGCAUUGUCACUGCUGUGGCUUGGGUUCAAUCCUUGGCAUGGGAACUUCCACAUGCCAUGGUAGCCAAAACAAACAAACAAACAAACAAACAAAAAAAACAAAAAAAAAA
RNAcentral lists this long non-coding RNA (1558 nucleotides) under Sus scrofa (pig). Its description in RNAcentral is "lncRNA (ENSSSCG00035079963.1, ENSSSCG00045022903.1, ENSSSCG00055008409.1, ENSSSCG00065052791.1)". The record is from RNAcentral. Lineage: Eukaryota; Metazoa; Chordata; Mammalia; Artiodactyla; Suidae.